UGGUGCUUGCAUCAUGAUUUACAUUUGAGUGAGUGGCGAACUGGUGAGUAACACGUGGGAAACCUGCCCAGAAGCGGGGGAUAACACCUGGAAACAGAUGCUAAUACCGCAUAACAACUUGGACCGCAUGGUCCGAGUUUGAAAGAUGGCUUCGGCUAUCACUUUUGGAUGGUCCCGCGGCGUAUUAGCUAGAUGGUGAGGUAACGGCUCACCAUGGCAAUGAUACGUAGCCGACCUGAGAGGGUAAUCGGCCACAUUGGGACUGAGACACGGCCCAAACUCCUACGGGAGGCAGCAGUAGGGAAUCUUCCACAAUGGACGAAAGUCUGAUGGAGCAACGCCGCGUGAGUGAAGAAGGGUUUCGGCUCGUAAAACUCUGUUGUUAAAGAAGAACAUAUCUGAGAGUAACUGUUCAGGUAUUGACGGUAUUUAACCAGAAAGCCACGGCUAACUACGUGCCAGCAGCCGCGGUAAUACGUAGGUGGCAAGCGUUGUCCGGAUUUAUUGGGCGUAAAGCGAGCGCAGGCGGUUUUUUAAGUCUGAUGUGAAAGCCUUCGGCUCAACCGAAGAAGUGCAUCGGAAACUGGGAAACUUGAGUGCAGAAGAGGACAGUGGAACUCCAUGUGUAGCGGUGAAAUGCGUAGAUAUAUGGAAGAACACCAGUGGCGAAUGCGGCUGUCUGGUCUGUAACUGACGCUGAGGCUCGAAAGUAUGGGUAGCAAGCAGGAUUAGAUACCCUGGUAGUCCAUACCGUAUACGAUGAAUGCU
This 768-nucleotide ribosomal RNA is filed under the name Lactiplantibacillus plantarum. Its description in RNAcentral is "bacterial SSU rRNA". It matches the Rfam family "Bacterial small subunit ribosomal RNA", at positions 62 to 817 of the family's 1533-position model. Lineage: Bacteria; Bacillati; Bacillota; Bacilli; Lactobacillales; Lactobacillaceae. The record is from RNAcentral.